CUUGCUGCUUCGCUGACGAGUGGCGGACGGGUGAGUAAUGUCUGGGAAACUGCCUGAUGGAGGGGGAUAACUACUGGAAACGGUAGCUAAUACCGCAUAACGUCGCAAGACCAAAGAGGGGGACCUUCGGGCCUCUUGCCAUCGGAUGUGCCCAGAUGGGAUUAGCUAGUAGGUGGGGUAACGGCUCACCUAGGCGACGAUCCCUAGCUGGUCUGAGAGGAUGACCAGCCACACUGGAACUGAGACACGGUCCAGACUCCUACGGGAGGCAGCAGUGGGGAAUAUUGCACAAUGGGCGCAAGCCUGAUGCAGCCAUGCCGCGUGUAUGAAGAAGGCCUUCGGGUUGUAAAGUACUUUCAGCGGGGAGGAAGGCGAUAAGGUUAAUAACCUUGUCGAUUGACGUUACCCGCAGAAGAAGCACCGGCUAACUCCGUGCCAGCAGCCGCGGUAAUACGGAGGGUGCAAGCGUUAAUCGGAAUUACUGGGCGUAAAGCGCACGCAGGCGGUCUGUCAAGUCGGAUGUGAAAUCCCCGGGCUCAACCUGGGAACUGCAUUCGAAACUGGCAGGCUAGAGUCUUGUAGAGGGGGGUAGAAUUCCAGGUGUAGCGGUGAAAUGCGUAGAGAUCUGGAGGAAUACCGGUGGCGAAGGCGGCCCCCUGGACAAAGACUGACGCUCA
This 677-nucleotide ribosomal RNA is filed under the name uncultured Enterobacter sp. RNAcentral describes it as "bacterial SSU rRNA". It matches the Rfam family "Bacterial small subunit ribosomal RNA", at positions 79 to 749 of the family's 1533-position model. Lineage: Bacteria; Pseudomonadati; Pseudomonadota; Gammaproteobacteria; Enterobacterales; Enterobacteriaceae. The record is from RNAcentral.